RNAcentral lists this ribosomal RNA (331 nucleotides) under uncultured bacterium. RNAcentral's name for it is "bacterial SSU rRNA". It matches the Rfam family "Bacterial small subunit ribosomal RNA", at positions 568 to 898 of the family's 1533-position model. The record is from RNAcentral.
CGCGUAGGUGGUUGCGUCAGUCGGAUGUGAAAUCCCCAGGCUUAACCUGGGAACUGCAUCUGAUACUGCGUGACUCGAGUGCAGCAGAGGGAAACGGAAUUCCUGGUGUAGAGGUGAAAUUCGUAGAUAUCAGGAGGAACACCGGUGGCGAAGGCGGUUUCCCGGGCUGACACUGACACUGAGGCGCGAAAGCGUGGGUAGCAAACAGGAUUAGAUACCCUGGUAGUCCACGCUGUAAACGGUGAGUACUGGGUGUGGGAGGUGUAAUGCCUUCUGUGCCGAAGCUAACGCGUUAAGUACUCCGCCUGGGGAGUACGGCCGCAAGGUUGAA